AACGAACGCUGGCGGCGUGCCUAACACAUGCAAGUCGAGCGCGAAAAGGGCAACCUGAGUAGAGCGGCGCACGGGUGCGUAACACGUGGGUAAUCUGCCCUGAAGUCUGGGAUAACCUUCCGAAAGGUUGGCUAAUACCGGGUAAGCUCACGGGGACUUUGGUUCCUGGGAGAAAAGUGGACCUCUAUUUAUAAGUUCACACUUGAGGACGAGCCCGCGGCCCAUCAGCUCGUUGGCGGGGUAACGGCCCACCAAGGCAACGACGGGUAGCUGGUCUGAGAGGACGCAGGUUUUGAC
Molecule: ribosomal RNA, 297 nt
Filed under: uncultured bacterium
Lineage: Bacteria
Description: partial 16S ribosomal RNA
Rfam family: Bacterial small subunit ribosomal RNA
Source: RNAcentral